CGCGCUUGUUAGGCGGCGCGGGCGCGGGAGCAGGUGCCCAGCAGCAGGUGCCCGGCAGCAGCCCGCACCGCACCGCACCGCGCCGCGCAGGAGCGGAGGGGCUCGAGCGAGAGGCGCGGUCCCGGCCGUAAGCAAGAAACUUUCCUCGCUCACAGAGCCCUCUUGGAGCAGCACGGCGCCCCGCUGCCAGGGAGCUCCUGGCGCCGGUCCGGCCCCGCCGCCCUUCUGGUUGCGGAGAGGCGCUCCCGGCCCGACGGACCCCGCGCCGCGUCCGUGCCGGAGGUGCCGCCAAAUCCGGACCGGAGCAGAAGGGAUUCACUGUGAACUAUGAGCGCUGCGACAAAAGUUUUCUAAGUGACAGAUGCGUGCAUAAGUAAACUUGUAUGCAGAAAUUAAAAUCAACUGGAGUUGGUAGCAUCCUCUCUGGAAGUUAAAUAUCGUUCAAAGCUGGGGCGGCACGGGGGUCGGGUUGCGCGUAGCCGAUGGCCUCGGACCGUGCGGGAGUCGGGUAUCGCUGCGGGACGGGCAGCAGCACCGAGGCGGCCGGGGGCAGCGCGACUGCGGCAAGGAGACGGGGGAAGGAAGACGGGCGGAGCGGCAUCGGAGAUAGCAGAAAGAAAAACUCUACUGAGAAGUGUGAAAAGAAAAGGAGGGGGAGGAGCCGCCCACAUGCUGCCAGGAGCCGUCCCGCUGGCAGCUUCUGCUCUCUGCUGUAUCGCUGCCGAACUGGGCGCCAAGGUCAGAAUCAGAAAGUUUCUUCACAUAAACUCGUUAUUUCUAAAUAUGUCUAAGGGGUUAAAGCAGAUCAGAAUCGGCCACAAUAAGGAUUUUGCUUCCUUAUCAAUGCUGGUGAAAUGGCAGAGGGAAAUGCAGACUGAAGGAGCACAACUUUGUCUGUUCAAAGUUCUGAGUGCUCAGCUGCGUUCUUCUGACACUGAAAAAAUAUUCCUCUUUUAAGGCACUUCCCCUGCACAACAGACACAGCUCCUGUGCUACUGCGCUGCUUCCUGUAGCACUUCUGAUGGGUUCCUCCUCAGCUGGAGCUGAUGAUCCCAGCCCAUGAUGAUUCUGGGGAACUCCUCUGGGAGAAGCAAGGGGGGCUCUGGUUCCCAGCUCCGUGGGAUGGAGGUAACAGGGAGAACAAGGACUGGGAGGGGGGGGGGGCUGGGAAAAGGAAUAGAUCUGUCGAUUUCCUAGAAGCCCUACCCUACAAACAGGAGGUGGGCAGACAGGCAGGGGGGAGUGCCAACCUCCCUGUGCUGGACACCAUCGUUCCUAUGCACUUACGGACUGUCAGCCUUGCACACUUGACUUGCACUGUAGCACCCAGCUUCUGCAGCUCUGGCUUUAAUAAAGUAAUGCCAGUCAUGCAAAUGAGAUGUUAUUUCAUUUUCAUUAAAUGUCACACGCUGAGCUAGGCAGUUAUGAUGGUUUUCUCUGUAUUGACAACAGGCUGUUAUUUGUACUGGGAACAAAGAAAGGAUGCUCAGCAGGAGGAUGUAUGUACUGGUAUAUAAGAAUGUGGCUUAAUUAGUGAUGUGUGACAGAGCUCCCAAGCUAGGAGUGCAGAUUUGCAAAUCCAGAUGUUUACAGAGGGCCAUGAAUUGCACGACUCCAUCUAAUUACAAACUGUUUUGUUAAUCAAUGUCGCUGACAUAGAAUAGGGCAAUUGUUCAGAUACAAUGGCAAGAGUAUCAAUGUAUUAACAAACUAUAGUAUUUGUUAUUGGUAUUAGACUGAAACUAUGGUGGGUUUUUUUGGCUUUGUUUUCAAAAACAUUUCUGUGGAUGUGGAGAAAACGUGUGAACCAUUCACCUCGUGCUAACUAGCCCUGAGCUGCCUUUGUGGCUGCUUGGCUGCUCUGGUUUACAGAUUCAGAAUGGACUGUCAGUCUGUAAAACUCCCCUAAUGCUUCACCUGUGCUUGAAGAAAAGCACCAACUUGGAAAUAAUCUGGAGGAAAAAAAAUAAUUGAGUGAUCCUCAUAAAUUUCUGAUGAUCCAUUUCAGGACUGGUUACUGUCCUGCUCAGGCAGUGAGAGAGCUGCUUGUUUUAGUCCAGAAAAAAAUACGGGAAGACCAAAAAACCUGUUUGUUUUUUUACCUUACAGAAGCAAGUUGAAAGCUCAGAGGUACUGAACUGAUACCUCUAGAAACUGAAAUAUGAUUUAGCCAUAAAGCAGUUUAAGCCAUGAGCAACAGCAGCAUUACCUGCCCUGCAUUACGUUGUCAGUGAACCCUAAUCCUGUUCUAGGGAGAUCACCCUUGGAAACUCAGUCUCACUAGGCAUUUAACUAGCUUUCCUCAUAAAGAAAGCCUCUAAGGAGAGACACCAUAAGCUUCUCUGAAAACAAGUACAGAAGAAUCUAUUGGAAGCCUUUAUUUUUUCCUUCAAGAGAACGAUUUAUCAAGAGUUUAGCUGGCUGUGUAUAAAACCACCCUUUCACGGACUGCUUGCCUUUUGAUUUAAUCCUUCUUAAGUUAUAAAUACAAGGUCUGGCCUGUAAGCAGAUAACUUAUAUGAAAUGUGGUUUGUUCACAGUUCUGAAAAUGCAGUUUGUUCUCUGCCAUAUUAGUUGAACCACAGAAAGGCAAUUCAGGGAUUCAUAUUUGCCCUUAUAAACCUCAGAUACCCCUCUUCCCUAGCAUCUGCUGGGAUCUUGUACAAAGUCUGAAGAUGUGUGAAAAUGAGAUUUACAGCAAAAGAGCUCUUGCUGACCUAUACUGUGCACUACUUCAACUGUUUGAUUUGCAGUUGUAAGAGAGAUUUGCAUGUGUUUAUGGUGAUUUGCUUACAGUGUCACCUUCAGCUUCCACAGCAAGCAAUUAAGGUAUCUCAGAGAGUAGGUCGAGUCCAGUGAGAGCGCACAGCAGGAACAAAUAAGCUGUUGGGGUCCCAACCAGCAGCAGCGAUCUGUCAGCCCACUCCCUAUGGAAUAAGAAUGGCUGCAGACUUGCUGCACCGUGCGCCUGCCAGCACAGGUUUUGCACAGCAGAGCAAAGACAGAAUGGCACAGGCAGGCUGCUUCAGAUGCCAGUGGGGAACAGCACUGGGCCAAGGGAAUUCUCCUGUGGUUACUUCUUGUAGGAGAAAGCAGGCACAGAGGGUAAAACCCAGCCAGUAACAUGAACAGCUGAAGAGUGCAUAAGCUUUCCGAGGUGUGCACCCAAGAAUAACUGCCAGACAGACAGUUGCAUAUAUUCAUAUCCAAACAUUCUGUAAUUGUAUUUGGUCCAAUUAAACCAGGUUGGUUCCCGAGUUUAAUCAUGCCCUGCUUCCUAUUGAAAAAUAGUUCUGACUUUCUGCUUUCAGGUCUUACUUCUGCCCAGAGACUAUCAAACAAAAUAACCUUAGUGUUUUCCCAGUAUUUUGAUGUAUUUUAAAACGUCCACAAAGAUUGUGAUAAAAUGUUUAAAUAAAAAAUCGUGUUUUCCAGUUGCAAUUGUGGCAAAUCUCAAUCUCAGAAAUGAGCAUUUUUGAUCUUAACAGGUAGCUGUAAGCAGGAGGAUAACAGGGAAACUGAUAGAUGAUCUUUACCAAAGUGGGGACUGCAGCAGUAAAUGAAUAUAAAACUGUUGACCUCGAAGGAUCACUGGACUGCAUGGCUAUUGGGUUCUGCACCUUCUGAAGAACAAAUUUAUUAAGACAAUGUGGGCAGUGUCAUCUGCUGCUUUUCAUUGGGUGCCUGCAAUACAGUCUUCGACUUCUAAUCUCCCAUUUACACAUUACAUUGGAUAAAGUUAAAAGUGAGAAAAAUAUUAGCUCAGUGUAAAAGAUACUUGAAAAAACUAUCCUUGAGACAAUCAUUAAACAAUCUGGUUUAUAUAGCUGUAAUUGUCCAUGUAUCCAUAGCAUUGCCAAGCUUUUCUUUCUUUCCUAUUUUAAAGUAAUUUGGAUUUCAGUCUUACCUUGAGAGAGCAUCUUCUUUAGGGGCAGGUCUCUUUGGUAUUUACUGAUGCCAUGAAAGUCACCCAGAUAGGAUACCAGCAGGUUUUCUUUCAGGUGCAAAAAAUUCCUAAGCAAGCAAAAAUGCCAAUGUCAGGAGCUUGACCUGUUUUUCUUGUCAGACACUUCUGUCAGAAAAGUGCAUUGUUACAAAGAAGUAACUCAAAUUGAAAUUAUUUGCUAGUCAAAUAGGUAAUUGUAUUUUAACAGGGCAAAACCCCAACCCAACUUGCCAGAGAACACUCAGCUAAAGCCAGCAUGUGUUGGAACAGCGUGUGUGCUCACUGUAAUUGUAAAUGGGAUACCAUGGUCACGCUGCCUCUUCUGAUUUAAAAGAAUUAAGACCAACACUGUCCAAAUUUUAACUGAAACUACUAAUAAUUAGGGGUUAUUAGGGGCUGUUGGCUAGCUUUAUUUUCUGCAACAGUUCUGUUGUAUUUGGAGAUUCUAUUUAAAUCCAGAAUUAAGAGCUGUGUUUGAACAGGUAAUCCAAUCUUCUCUGUGUAAUUUAGCCAAUGAUUUUUUUUCCUGGCCGUUAGUUUUGGCUGUGUUUCAAGGUAAACGUUGAAACUGCAAUACUAAAAAUAACCUCAUUCAAUAUAUUUUACCUGAAAGGAUAUACCAGGACAGCCUACAAAUGAUUACUAAAAUUCUGAUUUAUUUACUUAUUUGUUACUUACUGAGGAAGCCUCAGUGACAGGGUACUGAUGGGGACUUCACAGUGUACAUCCUCCCCUCUAGCGGCUGCUCCUCUCACAGAAAAGUUGCAACACUUCAGCAUUUCAUCUGUACUCGGUACAAAGUGAUGGGCAUAGCAUGGAGGGAAGCUAGACUGGAAGAAGACGUUAGAUACAAUCUUUUAUGCACUAGGAAAUUCAAAUCUUGCAGUGAUAAGAGCCGUAUGAAGACAGAGAUGCACAACAAGAGCUGCAGGUUUGACAAUCUUUUUGUGAAAAACAUGUUUUUCUUGAAAGAUGAUAGUAGUUGUGAUCACCUGCAUACCAAACCAGCUUCACAGCCAUUUCUCAGUCUCUCAGACCAAUCUUUUUGUCAGCUUGUCUUGCUUUCCUAUAUUGCCAGCAUCUUACAGGACUCAUAGAGUAAAAAAAAAUGUCAGUAAGCCUAUAGAACAUCCAUCCCUCUUAUUUCCAAACAUUUUUCUGUUAUCUUUUUCUGCUAUCCCCUACAUUCUCCAAUUCAUCUGUCCUUUUGUCGUCAACAGCAGUAAACCCAUAUCCUAGUCUUCAUGCUCAUUGUUUACUUUUUUUGCUAUUUCUACUAUGAGACUAGUACCUCUAAUACAACCCAACACCCAUUCCCAAAUUGCUAUCAAAGUGAUGAGUUAAACCCAUGACUCUCAGGAGAAGAGAUCACUGCAAAAGCAGAGCUAUCCAUAAACAAGGUUGCAGAGGCACAACCAGCACAUGGAAUAUUUUGUAAGGACUUAUUUCUUGCCUGCACAAGGGGAAAGUGGCCAUGCAAGGAAGUCCCUGCACUGUACUGCAGCUCUGGCCAGCUUUUCCAGGCAUUGAACCAGGGAUGCUAUGAAGUCUAAACAUCUCACACUCGGGAGGUAGGCUGGAAAAAAAUCAGAGGGGAGAGAGAAAAAUCGCCAGAAUUUCAUUCAUGUCUCACAAUGGAAGCCAAACUGUGAGAGUUUUCCAGCCCUUCAACUGAAGACAUCUCUUUUUCCUCUGCUUACUGUCACCCUAUUGCUUGCAUCCACUUACACCAGUUUCAUAGCAGGGUUGGUCUCCCCAGCUGGAUUUGCCCAUUCUGGUUCUGAACAGAACAGUCUCGGUCUUUGUAACCUACAGUAACUAGAUUUCAUUAGUGUUUGUCAGUGCUCAGGCAGAAUAUACCAGCAAAGGGUAUUAGAUACCUUUUUCAUAGCACUUAUUGGAUAUACGGCCUCAGAGUAUGUUUCCAUCAGAAAUCAAAAUCUGGCAUGAUGUGACUAUCAGAUCUGGAGGCUCAACUGUUAACCAUAAGUCAUCAGCAAUUAAAAUCCUAAUAUUAAUAUUUCAUUAAGAUCCCCUCCUUCUGAGUAACUCAAUCAUUAGUCAACUAGUCAAAUGUGUUCACAGCCUUCCCAGCAGAAUUUAGAUCAAUAAAUAGGUUAAUAAAUCAAUAAUAGGUUAGAGAAUAACUCUCUAAAAUAAUGGGUUACUUACCAAAUCUUUGAACUCAGUCUGGGAUGAUUCUCACUGCAUUUAUUCCUCCCCGGAUUUGGAUGGGAAAAUUAUUAGUAGUUAGAUGUAUUUUCAGCAAAAAAAAAAAAAAAAAGAAGAAGAAGAAGAAAUAGAAAAUUCCAUCAAAUACUGACUUACAGCUACUUUUUAUCAUAAAAUCUUACAGAUUUGCCACCAGUGAGCUCAUUAGUGUAAAUGAUAGAACCUUAUCUCAGGUUUGAAGUCAGCAUUUUUCCUUAGCUACCAAACAGUCCGUUUCCCUUCAUGACAUGAUAAUGGAGGACUUUACUCUUGAGAGCAAGGAAAAUAUUCUUCCCUGUUUUUCUAGGGCAAUCAAACAGGGCUGGUAAAAAAAUACAAGUGGACCAAGUGAGAUUUUAAUGCUGCUGGUAUCCUUGUGGAAGCCUUUUCCAAAAGAAGCAGAGCCUCUGCAGGAGAAGGAAGUGCACACUGUGACUGCCCGCAAAUCGUGCAGGACAGAUGUCACGGGAAGGCAGAAGAUGAAGGCUAAAGGAAGUAUUACUCUUUCCUCCUCCUCUGUUUUGCUCUCCAAAAUCUUUGUGACAUUGACUAAUCACAUCUUCAUACCCCUUGGUAACCCAGUAUAGCAUCAGUAUUGCUCAGUACACACUGGUUCUUCAGUGCUGGGAAACCACAGUGAAUCUGGCAACAGGUGCAGGAAGUAGAAGUCUUCUUGCUUUCCAGAAGCUAGAGCUGGCUGUAAGAGAUAUAGGGGUUAAGUUCUUAAAGACACUGGCAACUAGAGAUAAAAGCAACACUUAAAAAAGUUCAGUUGAAAAGGAUAGCUUGAGAUUACUUCAGUGGCUGAGAGAGCAGAAAGGGAGGGCAAAACCCUGCGUGCCGGCCAAACUUUUAUAACUUCAGGUUGGAAAGUACAAAUCUAAUAAGGAUAGGGUUAACCCAUAAACGAACAUAUGAACAUUGUUCCAUACUGCUCACAGUACAUCAGAAUAUCUCUAAUGAAUAAGGUCAAAGGCUACAGUGGCACUGGUCAGAGGGCUUGUUGCGUUGGGAGCAGCUGCUCAAAAAGAGGGGUGAGCUCCUAUUCGCUACGUUACAAGCUCGUCUGCUGCUUUCUGAAUUUGUAAUAUUGCUAAUUUCCAUCUUCUGAGCACAUCCAGUAUUGAAGGAGUUUGUGCCUCUGAACGAAUGCCCCAUCCCCCAGAACUCACUCAGGCAAAAGCCCGUUUGGCUCCCAGCAGUGCUGGGAAGCUCUGCUCGCAUCCUCACCCACAGGUCCCGGGGGCUGAGCGGGUGCCUGGCACGACAGCCCCCUGUGGGUUCUGCAGGCUCCUGCGGCUCUGCUCCGACCUCGGUGCGGGUGAGCUGCAAGGCGGUUCGCUUGAGUGACACGAGAGAAAAUAGGAUAGCUGCAGACACGAGAGCUUUUUUGGUGAAAUGCUAUCAGUUUGCAGCAGCGCAACAAACAACAACCGCAACAUGUAGAUGCUUAGAUUUUGUAUGUCUGAAUUAAUAAAGGCUGGAGAGACGUAGCUCUUUGUGCCAUAAAUUCACUGAUGGCUUUUCAAGGAAACCUAUUACUAGUCAAGUGAAACUUAGAAAAAAAAUGCUGGAUGGAAAUAUAAUGUUUUACUUUGGGGGAGACAGAUAGAUCUCAGAAAACAAAAUGUCUUCAGUAAUGGGAACAGUAUGGUUUAAAUACUAUGAAGCUAUGAAACAAAGUGCUAUUAAUAAUGCUUGAGCCACGCAGAGCAUUGCCACCUCUAAAUACUGCUUUUUCGGCUGUGCAGCAAGUCGAGCCUGUCGACCCCAGAUGGGUCCCCAUUGCAGCAGCAUCCUUUGCAACUCUUGUAAAGCUUCAUCCAAAGCCUAUCAGGCUCCAGGUCCAUUUUUAUUUUCCUUUCAUCCUCUCUCAGUCUUGAAUUUACUUAACAAUCUGUGGAUUUUGAUGUUCUUGUUCAUUUCUGAAGCUGCAUUUGCACUACAAGAUAAGAGGAGAGAAAGAAUAAAAAGCAGAGCUGGUUUACACAAAGAGUGAAGUUUUAGAUUUCUGUGGUUUUUUUCAUGUUCACAGGGCACAGGGAAGUGCCUGCAUGCUGCAGUAAGCUCUGGAUCGGCUACAAAGCUCACGGCUGUGGAGAAGGGAUUUGUUAUUUAUUCAGCAUCAUAAGGACCCCCUAGUGGCACCGGUGUGGAGGGUGGCUGGGAUAUGCAGGCUGUUCUGUUCUUCCCCAAGAGCCAAAUCUACUUGUUUAGGAAACUGCUGAUGUAUGUGAACUUCAGAGAUACAAAUUGCGCUUAGCGUAGAUGUGGCCACUGCCUGGCCCAGAUUCUCAUUUACAUUAGAAUAAUUUUUGCAUGUAUAUUAAAUAUCAUAGAGGUGGAAAGAACGACAGAUUAAAAUAGGUACCUAGCUCUCUGUAUGCGUGGCUUCCACAUGAACGUUUUAUCCCUGAAAAGAAAACCCAAACAACACUAAGCUGAGCCUGUCACAAUUACCAUAUUUUCUUACAUCUUCCUUCCCAUAACUAUAGCCACAGAGCACUAGUCCAUCAGUGCCCCCAGCAGCUUGUGACAAACUGCUGUUUCAGUAAUUACUGAGCAUCCAUAUCACAUCUGUGAUACUACUCACUGGAGGGGUUCAAAUCUAGAAAGACAGACAUCGUCAUUUUUCUUUUGAAGCUGAGAUCAAGUCUGAGUCACUGAGCUGGACACUGACUGGCUCAGCAGAUCAGCAGUGGCACCAAGCAUAUUAUGUUUAUUGAACAUAACAGAGGGGAACAGUAAGAUAUGGGAUGGAAGCAGCAGUGAUACAAAGGGAGCUAGACAGCAUUGGAUAAGGAGUCAAGUCAGGUAUUGGCCAGCCACCAGGAUGAGCAUAUUCAUAACAAAGAUCAUUUGAUGGUCAGGAUCAAGAAAUAAUGGGAGUUUUGCUUUGCAGUCCCACGUUUGGAAUGAUUCACAGUUUACCAACAUAAUCCAUUUUUAUGUGUUUGCCAGGAUUUAAAUCUUAAAGGACUUUUUGCACUGGAUGACUUUUAAUUAUUCUUUCAGCGUUUUCAUGGAUUUCUUCGUUUGGAUUAUGUAAAAUAUUUACCAGUGGCGAAGCCUAGCUGCAUUCAGUGACUCUGCAUUACUCCAUUUUGUUGGAGGGUCAGCACAAUUCUUAAAGGCUGAAGUGUAAGAAUUGUGUUGCGUUGCAUUUGUACACUGCCUGUCCUUUAUCGAUGGAAACUCACCCCACUGGCCUAAGCACUUUUGCAUGCUGGGUUUUGUUUACAAAUUGGCAGUAAUGUGCUCUAGUCUCUUGGACUGUGUGCAAUUAGUUGCAUGCAAUCUCUUUAGGCUUCAAGACUUCCUAAAUGAUGAUAGAUUCUGAAAUGCAGACCCAUCGGCUGCUUUGCAUAUUGCAUAUAUUUUUCAUAUUUCCAAGACAGGACAUAUGCAAAAUCAUUUCACUGUGGCACAAACACAAGAAACAUGAUUUGGAAGAAAGGACAGGGGCCAGAGUGUCUGUCUCUUAUUCUCCCACUCGCAUUGCUGCAAACUGGAUCUGGUUGGCAACUCCUUCUGAGGCUCUCAGUUUCUGACUGGAACAGGUCAUUAUGUGUGCACCUCAAUCCAUCACUUCCGAAGCAUCCUGUGAAGAAAUUGCCAUUAGAAACCAGUGUAGCGAAACCAACUACCUUCUAUCUAAAAGCAUGACUUGCAUUUUUGUAUCACAUCUCAUUCUUUUUAUUCCUAACAUUACCUAUCUAUCUGUAUAGUUACUUUCUGUAGCAGCAGAGAUCAUGCUGUAUCUAUUUUUACUGCACCAAUUACUGCUAUUUUAAGACUGUAUAGAAAUGUCUACAAAUAAAGAUUAGCUGAAAGUUCCC
Molecule: long non-coding RNA, 9996 nt
Filed under: Gallus gallus (chicken)
Lineage: Eukaryota; Metazoa; Chordata; Aves; Galliformes; Phasianidae
Description: lncRNA (ENSGALG00010025641.1)
Source: RNAcentral